AGCGUUGUUCGGAAUUACUGGGCGUAAAGCGCGCGUAGGCGGCUUUUUAAGUCAGAGGUGAAAGCCCGGGGCUCAACCCCGGAAUAGCCUUUGAAACUGGAAAGCUAGAAUCUUAGAGAGGUCAGUGGAAUUCCGAGUGUAG
This 142-nucleotide ribosomal RNA is filed under the name uncultured Alphaproteobacteria bacterium. RNAcentral describes it as "partial 16S ribosomal RNA". It matches the Rfam family "Bacterial small subunit ribosomal RNA", at positions 537 to 678 of the family's 1533-position model. Lineage: Bacteria; Pseudomonadati; Pseudomonadota; Alphaproteobacteria. The record is from RNAcentral.